UUAGUGGCGGACGGGCGAGUAACGCGUGAGAAUCUGCCCUCAGGAGGGGGAUAACAGAAGGAUGAGACUGCUAAUACCCCAUAUGCCGAGAGGUGAAACGAAUUUUGCCUGGGGAUGAGCUCGCGUCUGAUUAGCUUGUUGGUGGGGUAAAAGCCUACCAAGGCUUCGAUCAGUAGCUGGUCUGAGAGGACGAUCAGCCGCACUGGGACUUGAGAUACGGCCCAGACUCCUACGGGAG
Molecule: ribosomal RNA, 238 nt
Filed under: uncultured bacterium
Lineage: Bacteria
Description: partial 16S ribosomal RNA
Rfam family: Bacterial small subunit ribosomal RNA
Source: RNAcentral